This 496-nucleotide ribosomal RNA is filed under the name uncultured microorganism. RNAcentral's name for it is "bacterial SSU rRNA". It matches the Rfam family "Bacterial small subunit ribosomal RNA", at positions 9 to 524 of the family's 1533-position model. The record is from RNAcentral.
GAGUUUGAUCAUGGCUCAGAACGAACGCUGGCGGCGUGGAUAAGACAUGCAAGUCGAACGGGAGAAUUGCUAGCUUGCUAAUAAUUCUCUAGUGGCGCACGGGUGAGUAACACGUGAGUAACCUGCCCCGAGAGCGGGAUAGCCCUGGGAAACUGGGAUUAAUACCGCAUAGUAUCGAAAGAUUAAAGCAGCAAUGCGCUUGGGGAUGGGCUCGCGGCCUAUUAGUUAGUUGGUGAGGUAACGGCUCACCAAGGCGAUGACGGGUAGCCGGUCUGAGAGGAUGUCCGGCCACACUGGAACUGAGACACGGUCCAGACACCUACGGGUGGCAGCAGUCGAGAAUCAUUCACAAUGGGGGAAACCCUGAUGGUGCGACGCCGCGUGGGGGAAUGAAGGUCUUCGGAUUGUAAACCCCUGUCAUGUGGGAGCAAAUUAAAAAGAUAGUACCACAAGAGGAAGAGACGGCUAACUCUGUGCCAGCAGCAGCCGCUGUAAC